GAUCAUUGCUCAGGAUGAACGCUGGCGGCGUGCCUAACACAUGCAAGUCGAACGAAGCACCUUACCGGAUUCUUCGGAUGAAAGUUUGGUGACUGAGUGGCGGACGGGUGAGUAACGCGUGGGUAACCUGCCCUGUACAGGGGGAUAACAGCUGGAAACGGCUGCUAAUACCGCGUAAGCGCACGAGGAGACAUCUCCUUGUGUGAAAAACUCCGGUGGUACAGGAUGGGCCCGCGUCUGAUUAG
Molecule: ribosomal RNA, 245 nt
Filed under: uncultured bacterium
Lineage: Bacteria
Description: partial 16S ribosomal RNA
Rfam family: Bacterial small subunit ribosomal RNA
Source: RNAcentral